AUUGAACGCUGGCGGCAGGCCUAACACAUGCAAGUCGAGCGGAUGAAGGGAGCUUGCUCCUGGAUUCAGCGGCGGACGGGUGAGUAAUGCCUAGGAAUCUGCCUGGUAGUGGGGGAUAACGUCCGGAAACGGGCGCUAAUACCGCAUACGUCCUGAGGGAGAAAGUGGGGGAUCUUCGGACCUCACGCUAUCAGAUGAGCCUAGGUCGGAUUAGCUAGUUGGUGGGGUAAAGGCCUACCAAGGCGACGAUCCGUAACUGGUCUGAGAGGAUGAUCAGUCACAGUGGAACGGAGACACGCUCCAGACCCCUACGGGAGGCAGCAGUGGGGAAUUUUGGACAAUGGGCGAAAGCCUGAUCCGGCCAUGCCGCGGGUGUAAGGAAGGUCUUGGAAUUAUAAAGCAUUUUAAGUGGGGAGAAAGGGCAGUAAUUUAAUACCUUGUUUUUUUGACGUUACCAACAAAAAAAACCCCGGCUAACUUCGUG
RNAcentral lists this ribosomal RNA (484 nucleotides) under uncultured bacterium. RNAcentral's name for it is "partial 16S ribosomal RNA". It matches the Rfam family "Bacterial small subunit ribosomal RNA", at positions 30 to 507 of the family's 1533-position model. The record is from RNAcentral.